CCAAAGGCUCUUUUAAGAGCCACCCACUUUUUCAUUAAAGGAGCUG
This is a non-coding RNA of Chaetura pelagica (chimney swift), 46 nucleotides long. NCBI's taxonomy places the organism in Eukaryota, Metazoa, Chordata, Aves, Apodiformes, Apodidae. The record is from Rfam.